GUGCGGCUUCUACUGCGGCUGCGCAAGCUCGACGCGCGCACUCUUGUCUGCUUACGAGGGCUCCUCCCUUCAGCUUUGGUCCCUCGGGGCGUCUGGGCAGCCUACGCUUUCCGUAAACACUGGGAUGCCGGAGCUCAGGCAUCCCAGACAGGAGGAAGUGUGUACUCACACCAGCCAGGAGGAAACAAGCCUGCCUGGGAGGACAGACGAUCAGCCCUGGCUGUCCCUCAGGAGCGGGGGGCCUCCAAGGCACACUGCCCACUGGGUCAAGGAGUAUCCAGGAGGAGUUAGAAGCAUGACCCAUCUGCCUGGCACCAGCACCUGGGGCUGCCAGGCAGCCACCCCUGCAGCUGUGUUGACAGGACCUGGCAGAGGGACUGACCCACCUUUGGAAAAUGACACCAGCAAUAUCAGGAUGUGUCAACUGGAUUUAUGCUAAGAAAAUAGGAUUUUUGGUGUUCCUCUGUUUCCCAAAGUUUGAGACACUUUCAGACACUCUGCUUUGCGGUUGUGGCCGAUGUUACCCAUGGGUGGGACUUUUGCUUUGCUCUAGAUUUUUGUAACACCCUGGGGAGUUUCAGGGGCCAAUGCUGAGAGAAGACCACAGGCUGACACAUCAUGAGACCCUCUGGGCAGGUCCACUAAGAGCAUGUAUUCUAGAACAUGCAGGGCUUGAAGCUUCACAAGAUAUUCAGUGCACUCCUUACAGAUCCUGUCAAAUGUGGACCGGGUGGUGUCAUCGCACCACCAUCAUCCCCUUGUUACCCCUGAGAACACAGCUUCAGAGAGGGGCGGCGCUGGCUUUCAGGCCGUUCAGCAGGGAUGAGUAGAAGGCAUGGAUGAACAUCUUAGAAGCAGCCACUGGCACAGGCCACAGAGACACGAGGACACACUGAGCGCCGGCAGCCAGGAAGGCCCUUGUCAGCGCGAUGACCCCGUCGGCUGUGACUUUGCUGUUGGACUCCUGGGAGGAGCCAAGCACCACCAGCUUCACAGGCAGCUGCAGGUCCAGGACGUCGGCGGCAGUGCCUAACUUACUGAGAAUCAUGCCUGCUGUGAUGAGCCCUUGGAAACCAUCAGGACUGGAUGGUAGGGGUCCUGAGAGGAUUGGGGGAGGAGGCCUUGAUAUGACAGAGUGGACAGAGGCCGUGGAACCCAGGACAGCCAGCCUGCUCCACAAUCCUCAUCCCCACAGACCUUCAUGUGUGGCUCCUAAAUAAGAGGAAACCCACUCCUGAUAAGUCAGGGGCUUUGAAAAGUGAUUUUGUUUAAAUGGUGCAAACAAGCAAGCCAAUCUUGGGGAGACAGGGCUAAACUUAAGUCCUUUAAGAAGCUCUACAUACUGACAAGAUUCUAGUUCCCUUCCACCUUAUAUGCUGCAAAGUAAAAAGUAUCACUGAAUGAGAAAAUCAGCAUAAAGAAGCCCAAUAAUGUCUGCCUGAGUUUCCCCUAUGAUGACUUUUGGUACUUUUUGGGAAACAUUAAGUAUGAAGUUAUUUCAAAAUAAUUUUUUGGUGCCUCUGCUUGGUGAUGCCUUAAACUCUGGGUAAGAGAAACACCAGGUGCCUGUCAGGAGAUGGCCUUUUCCAGGUUUCUGGUUAAGCUACAAACAGCUAACUGGCUGCUGUCAUCAAAAUAAAAGCUUUCUGAAGGUGGAGGCAUCUGAUACCCAGAGUGCUGCUAUCAGCCGGCACGGUGGGCCGCUGGGUGGCAGGAGCGUCGAGAAGGCCAGCUCGCUUCCUAUCUGGGAUUCAGAAUCAGCUAUGGAAACUUGAGAGACCUAGAGAAAAUAACUUCUUUCACUUUGAACUGAUUCUUUGCUUCAUAAGAAAAGUAUUAUCCAGCCACAAAAAUGGUCAAAAUUCAGAUCUACAAAAGCCUGUCAGGCAGAAACUGACCCCACUUAGGCCACGCCAAUGAGCAAGUCAUCAAAGCAGCCAAGACAGGUCCUGUGGGGGCCACCCAUGCACAGGGCCCAGCCUCGGGUCCUAACCCCGCCUAUGCUUUCCGCCACCAUAAAGAGGCCCAUCUGGGUAAGACCUGUCCCGCCUGCUGUGGGGUAUUAGGGCAGAUGGGGUCUGAGGGGUCUGAGGGCUCUGAGAGCAGCUGGCAGCUCAAGGACAUCCGGAGUUGGAGGAUGGAGCAAUGCAGGCCCUUGUGGUAAAGACAGUCCUGCAGCCGCGCAGGCAGGGAUGCUGCAAGUGGAGUGCCAGGCGGGUGCGGAGCCCUGUGGGACUGUGGAGGGGUCAGAGGGAAGCCAGGAUUUUGGGGUCUCUGAGAGUUUGGAGAAGGGGAAGAAGAUUAAAGCUUGUUUCAAAAGUUUCUAAUCAGGUGGGCAGGGCCAAGGGUGGCUGUGGGGUGAGACCCAUGACUCAGGGUGGCCCACUGUUACUCUAUUGAUUUUUGGGCGUUUUUUUCCAAAUUGAUUAUUCUUGCUGAAUGAGACCUGAGUCCUUGACUGUCCCCUUAAAGCCACCUGACUUGUUUUCAGUUCCACUGGCCUGUCGGGCUGUUUUCUACUCAACUCCACUCUUGCUUGUCUGCCCUCCCUGCCUGGGGCCCAGCCAGCAGUCAGCUCAAGGGCCAGAUGAAUUGGGUGGCUGUGCUCUGCCCACUGGGCAUCGUGUGGAUGGUGGGUGACCAGCCCCCUCAGGUGCUCAGCCAGGCCUCAAGCCUUGCUGUGUACCUCAGAGCAGCUCCGUACCCUGAUGUCACAGCAAAGAAACUUAGACAUGACACAAACUGUGGCUUCCCAAGGCAGCAAAGAAUGGCCAGGGGUCAUGAGGGCCGUGCCCCACUUUUGGACAGACCUACUCUAAAGUCACGCUACCUGCGUGCAAAUCAUAAAAUCAACACUUUUGAGGAGAUCACAGCUAUGCCUUCGUAACACAGCCCAGUCCGACCAGAUAGACGGUGCCUCGUGACCCGAAAACAAGCCCCCGGCCCCCCACCAUGUGUGUGAGCCUUACCUUGGACUGCACGCUGAGGGAGCGGAUGGAAGGGACAGCAAGGAGGCCGAAGCGCUCGUAGAGGUACUCAUUGGAGGAGCUUCCCUUCAGGAGGGCGAAAGGAAUGAGGUAGAGCUCCCCCUCCAGAACCAGGAUGAGCUGCCGGUGCCGGCCCACGGGGCCGCUGGAGUGCAUCAGGCCCUAUGGAGCAAGCACGGAGAGGCUGACAUGGGUGGCCCAGCAGGCAGGGGUUUCAGGCACCAGGACAACCCUGAGCCCUAGCCUGGAUGACACAAGCACGAGCAGGUGAGGCCUGUGGGGGUGUGGGGCGCCAUGGGGCAUGGGCCGAGUUGCAGCCCUGCAGGAGCGGCACCAACUGGCAUGCUCGCUUGUGGACUGGCAAGGGCUGGCCUGGCAGCAUCCAUCUGCCUCACAGUCCUGAGAAGGUUAGAGGACAGUUUCUUGAAGUUCACAAGAACCUGAAGUGGGUUGGAGACCGGUCUGUACCGCACAGGCACCCUGAGAAGGGGUGGGAAUGGCCCCUCUCAAAACAAGAUCUGUUUUCCAUUUCAAUGGACAAGAGGCUAGAAAAUCACAGUGAGGACGGGAGGUCUGGGGGCUGGCAUGACAGCCCCUGUAGAAGGGGAUGGGCUGGGUUCUAGGAUCUUCCGUGACCUCCUCUGAGAAAGAGUGGCCCCUUGGCUCUGGGCUUGGGAGGUGCCGUCCCCACUUGUUCCCUCUGGGGAUGUCAGGGGACCCAAUGCAUGGAUGACUCCCAUCCCUCUUGAAAGGCCGAGCAUGAGGACUCGAGGCAGGGUGUGCACAGGGCCACAGCGGACACAGCCUCAUUCCUGUUCAUUGCAGAACAAGGCUAAGGGCGCGGGCAUCUUAAUGAGAGCAGCAGGCAACAAUCCUGGAAGCUGGGUCCACACAGACUGCGGUGAACAAAGAGGUGGCGUGGAAGCUGCUGCUGCAGCCCAGAGCCUGCCAAGAAGGUCCCAGGUCCACAGGGCCUGCGCAACACUGGGUGCCAGGGGUGGGGCUGGCCUGCCCCCCAACCCCAUCUGCUGAGGAGUGGCUGACAAGCGGACACCCACCAGGGUGCCACUCGCUUGUGCCUGGGGAAGCAAAUGUGCUCGCUUGACCCGUCUGAUGUGCUGCCGUGGGCACUUGACUGAGAGUGGCAGAGCACUAGGCUAACCCAAAGUGACACAUGCCUGGCGGGAUGUUCAGUCU
This is a long non-coding RNA of Homo sapiens (human), 4184 nucleotides long. Ensembl annotates it as TTC28 antisense RNA 1. Its record names the gene TTC28-AS1. NCBI's taxonomy places the organism in Eukaryota, Metazoa, Chordata, Mammalia, Primates, Hominidae. The record is from Ensembl.